AUGGCUGCGAUACUAGGAUCCGCGGUUGCAAGCGAGUCUGUAAGCAGAAUUUUCUCGAUCAUAUCAGGCAACUCGGGAGAGGAUGGGGGUGCGGAGGACAACGCCGAGAGGCUGAAGUUCGCGGUGCUGAAGAUCCACAGCGUUGUCGCCGUCUCCGAAGAUUGGCGCAUACUUCACCAACCAUUGCUCGACUGGAAGGCGAGGCUGAAGCGCGUGGCCAAGGAAGGCGAUGGCAUCCUGCGCGCUCACACGAGGAGAUCCGCGGAGCGCAAACGGGGCGAUGGGGUUGCGAGGAAGGCUGUUCCCGUUCAUAAGCGCGUCGCUCGAGCGGCGACACGCUUCUUGCCCUUCCGCCGCGGCAAGGACGACGACGGCGAUCCGAGCGAUGCGACGGUGCGGAGGUUCGAGAGGCUAGCGCGUGUCGCCGACGAGUUCUUCCGGUACGUCCAGCUUGGGGGCCGUCCGAAGAGCUUGACGGCGUCCAUGGAAGUUCCUGCAGAGCCGCUGCUUGCAGGGAAGACGCUGGAGUUCUCCCUCCGGAGCGGCAGCCGGGACGCCCUCCUGCUGCUCCAUCCGUGCAACAGGGAGAUCGUUCUCUUCCUCUCCUGCGACGACAGCGCGGCGUGGGAGAGGAACGUGAAGCUCUGCGUUGUCUUCCGACUGCUCGAGCACACUGACGUCUUGGACAUCGUCAUGUCUUCCUUGCAGCUGCUGCCUCCCCAGUUCGGCGCCGCCUGUGCGACGGCAAGGGAGUUCGUCAGGGAGGCGCGGGCGCAGGAAACGAGCUAUACCAGCGCGUCGUCCAUGUCGAUGCGGUGCGUCUCGUCGGCAUGGAGGUGUCACCGCAACUCCACGGACGGGGGAUGCGCGGCGACCGACGGUAUGCCGCGGCUGCCGUGGCCGAUCGUUCGAGUCGACGCCGUGUACUUCGCCAUGCCGCAGAACGAUUCGCCGGAUGCGCCUGCGGACCAGAACAAGCUUCUGAAAUUGGCAUGCCAUAUCACUCCCCAUCUUGUGCCCGAGACGUACUCCCGGCACUACCGGCAGAUCGGGACGGAAACACUACAAGAGCUGUCCCCCAAGGUGGCGGACGAAGGAGCUUCCGCUUGUGGACGGACAGCUGCGUGGUGGUGUCCUCGCAGCUCAACGUAUUUGUCGGCGGAACCAGAGGUUUCGGUGCCGCCGCCGACGCUGCAGCAGUUGUUCCUGGUGCAAAGCUUGAAGGGGGCAAUGUAG
Molecule: ribosomal RNA, 1236 nt
Filed under: Triticum aestivum (bread wheat)
Lineage: Eukaryota; Viridiplantae; Streptophyta; Magnoliopsida; Poales; Poaceae
Description: partial small subunit ribosomal RNA
Source: RNAcentral